GACGAACCGUGCAAACGUUAUUCGGAAUCACUGGGCUUAAAGGGCGCGUAGGUGGUUGAUCAAGUCUGGGGUGAAAUCUUUCGGCUUAACCGGAAAAGUGCCUUGGAAACUGAUCAGCUUGAGGGAGGUAGGGGCAGUUGGAACUUCCAGUGGAGCGGUGAAAUGCGUUGAUAUUGGAAGGAACGCCGGUGGCGAAAGCGAACUGCUGGACCUCUUCUGACACUGAGGCGCGAAAGCUAGGGGAGCAAACGGG
Molecule: ribosomal RNA, 253 nt
Filed under: uncultured bacterium
Lineage: Bacteria
Description: partial 16S ribosomal RNA
Rfam family: Bacterial small subunit ribosomal RNA
Source: RNAcentral